This 492-nucleotide ribosomal RNA is filed under the name uncultured bacterium. RNAcentral describes it as "partial 16S ribosomal RNA". It matches the Rfam family "Bacterial small subunit ribosomal RNA", at positions 29 to 507 of the family's 1533-position model. The record is from RNAcentral.
AGUGAACGCUGGCGGUAGGCCUAACACAUGCAAGUCGAACGGCAGCACAGUAAGAGCUUGCUCUUACGGGUGGCGAGUGGCGGACGGGUGAGGAAUACAUCGGAAUCUACUUUUUCGUGGGGGAUAACGUAGGGAAACUUACGCUAAUACCGCAUACGACCUACGGGUGAAAGCAGGGGAUCUUCGGACCUUGCGCGAUUGAAUGAGCCGAUGUCGGAUUAGCUAGUUGGCGGGGUAAAGGCCCACCGAGGCGACGAUCGGUAGCUGGUCUGAGAGGAGGGUCGGCGACACUAGAACUGAGACACGGUCCAGGCUCCUGCGGGAGGCAGCAGUGGGGAAUAGUGGACAGUGGGCGCGAGCCUGAUCCAGCCAUACCGCGUGGGUGAAGAAGGCCUUCGGGUUGUAAAGCCCUUUUGUUGGGAAAGAAAAGCAGCAGGUUAAUACCCCGCUGUUCUGACGGUACCCAAAGAAUAAGCACCGGCUAACUUCGUG